This 1790-nucleotide long non-coding RNA is filed under the name Gallus gallus (chicken). The record is from RNAcentral. Lineage: Eukaryota; Metazoa; Chordata; Aves; Galliformes; Phasianidae.
UUUUUUUUUUUUUUUUUUUAAGAAGUGAGUUUCACAAGUAAAGGCUCUGUCCGGGUAUAAAACAACUGAUGCAUUUUUUCCAACAUUAAACAUCUCGAGUUCGUAAUUAAAAAACGGAGGACAGAACGGACAGCUAAAUAAACGGACUUGGGGAUUUUAGGGCGAGUUUUUCCGGGACCGUUCAGAAAUAAGCGAGCACUCUUUUGUCUGACGCUGAGCUGCGGUUAUGGCGACCGCGUCUGCUUAGCGCAGAGGUACGAGCACCGAGCAGCGCCGAUACAGAGGGCGAUAACGCCGCCGGUACAGCCGCGGAGGUAACGCGCUCUGCGCAGCGCACGGCUGCCGGGGAGUGCGGAGCAGAGAUUUGGGCUCCUCCGUCCGCAGCGCUACCGAACGAAGCCGAGAGAAGGGGUUUGAUUUCUUCUCGAACGCCUCCGAACGCCUCACGACCGCUGUAAGGUCUCCGGCGUUCUGCAAGGGUUGGCAGAGGGCUGCGCCAGGAGAUGGCAGAUGAUUUCACACCGCAAAGAACUCGCGAAGCAACAUGGCGUUGUGGGAGCGGAUGACAGUCGGUAAUUAGUGGCAGGCUGCGGGGAUCUUCCUCGCUCACAAUGGGAAGGAAGCUGCUCGGAGCGGGGACACGGAGCUGGCACAGCGGCAGGGAAGCGGCCUCGAGUUGCGUGCAAGAGUCGGAGGAAUUUCUUCCUUUAGGUAUCGGUGCUUAGGACCGGGGGGCACGCUUGGCUAGAGACGGACCUUCAUUGUUCGGCCGCUCGUUAUCCUGCAUGUCACAGAGGUUGCUACGAGACCACUCCCUUUUCUCUGUGCCACUAUUGGACUAAAUCUACUUGGGCUCCCGGGACGUCGCGAAUUGUCUUCAGAGCGUGGGAACCCCGGCGUGUGCCCUCAGCUCCGCUCAGCAGCUUGGCACCGCCGCCGCUUCUUCUCCCCGGGUAUCUCGGGCUGCUCCUGCCGGGCUGGGGCUGCUCCUCCUGCCCCGGAAACAAUGGGAGCUCCCGGCCCAUUGUGUGGGCUCAGCGCAGAGCCGUGCGUGGGUGCGGGGACACGGGUGGCCGUGCCCAGGUGGGAGCCGCCGUGUGCGGGGUCAUCAGGGACCGGCUCAGCCCCCGCACGGCCCGGAUAACCGCGGGGCUCAAACGCAGAGAUCUGGGUCGUUUCCAGAAUAAAGAACGUGUUGGAAGCGCAGUCAGCUGUCGGGUAUUUAAGAAUGGGAUUUAGCCCGCAACAGGGCCACAUAUGUAAGUGCUUAUCUAAAGAAGACAUAAAAUACAAUAAGCUUUGGGGGAAAAAUUCAUGAUUCAGCAAAAAUAAAGGGAGUAAUAUAUUUACCCGGAGAUGCAAGUUAUCAGCUAGCGUGCAUUUGGCUGGUGUAAUGUUUAAAGGAAAAUACUGUAUAAUUCCUGUUUGGAGAACGUGUUCACGGUAUGGGUGGAAAAACAUUAGUUCCAUCUAACAUGAAGAGUAGCAAAUGUCUGUUGUUAUUAAAGGCAGCACGUAAUAUAUAUACCUGAGAAAUGUACUCUAGGCGCUAGAAAGCAUUUUCUAGACUCCGGUUUUACUAGUGUUUUACCGAAUAAAAUUUUAACAGAAAUGCGUGUGCAUGGUGAAAUGUAAAGCUAAUUGGAGAACACGGGAUCGUAUCGCGGUAUCGGGUAACUCUCUGCUGGGAGGUGGAUGGUGCAGGGAGCACCCAGGGCUUGAGCCGAGGGCACGUAGGCGCUGCAAAGCACUCAGCCGAGGCCAGCUGGCUGCCUCUGCCCCGCACCCGG